AUACGGAGGAUCCGAGCGUUAUCCGGAUUUAUUGGGUUUAAAGGGUGCGCAGGCGGAAUAUUAAGUCGGCGGUGAAAGUUUGCAGCUUAACUGUAAAAUUGCCGUUGAUACUGGUAUUCUUGAGUGUAUAUGAAGUAGGCGGAAUUUGUAGUGUAGCGGUGAAAUGCAUAGAUAUUACAAGGAACUCCGAUUGCGAAGGCAGCUUACUAAAUUACAACUGACGCUUAGGCACGAAGGCGUGGGUAUCAAACAGGAUUAGAUACCCUGGUAGUCCACGCAGUAAACGAUGAUUACUCGCUGUUUGCGAUACACAGUAAGCGGCUUAGCGAAAGCGUUAAGUAAUCCACCUGGGGAGUACGUUCGCAAGAAUGAA
Molecule: ribosomal RNA, 373 nt
Filed under: uncultured bacterium
Lineage: Bacteria
Description: bacterial SSU rRNA
Rfam family: Bacterial small subunit ribosomal RNA
Source: RNAcentral